GAUGCCUGCUUGGUCAUUUAGAGUUUAUAAAACACACCCACAUCCAUUACCUCUGUGACCCUUUCAUUCCACAGACAUCCAGGGAGCCCAUCCUCUGCCUGGCGCUGGGUUGGCCCAGCGCCAGGGGGACAAAUGGGACAUGAGACAUCUCUGGUUUCCAGGAGAUUCCCUGGAGGACAGAGGGGGCAGCCGUGUGCUUAGAGCUUGGACUGGGCAGCUGGAUGUGGUCAGGAGGAGGGAGCGGCUUGGGCAAAGAAGAGAGAGAAAGAGAAAGAUCUGAAGCGUGGGUUUUGAGGGGGUUGGCCAGGUAGAAAUGGGACAGGACCAGAUUCUGUCAGGACCUAGUAAGAGGUUCUUUAUUCUGAGGGCACCAGGAGUCAUUGAAGAUCUCACAUCACAAGGAGGAGGCCUAGCGGGACCCGGCUCCCACCACAUUCUCCAGAGACCUGGCCUUGUUUAGAAAGUGUCUUCUUUGGAGCCUGAGUCACCAGAUUCCUGGGUGGUCUGGGGGAAACCACAGUUACUGUAAGCACCAUGACUGGAAAGGCAAGAGGACAGCGAGUCUGUCGUGGAUUGUGACAUCAGCAACUCAGCCAUAAUGUCUAAGACUGGGUUUCCUCAUUUGUAAACUGAGAGUCUAGAACUGGAGUCACACCCCAUGAAGAAAGGCCACAAGAACUCAAGGCAUCUAAGAACCUCAUGGAGUCCUCAGCUUCGGGACAGGACAGGCCUAGGAGGCAAAAGAGCUGUGAGGUUGAUGUCCUCGGAUCCCCAGAUUCAUUCAGCUCUCAGGCUUGCAGGCCCCCAAGGGACAGACCUACUCCCACAAGGCCAGCCUCAACCAGCAAGUGGGAGGAGUCCCCAGCUGGCAUCGGAGAUAGAAGGCCUGUUCCUUUUCCCAGGAAGCUUGGCAAAUGAUGGCACUAAUGGAAGCAACAGUUUCUACAUCUGAGAAAGGGGAGUGAGGAAGCUCCCUGCAGGAGCUCCCAUGAGGUCAAAUGCGUAUCCUCCUGGGAAGGACCUCUACCAAGAGCCUAGUUUUCAUCACCUCCACUCAGAAACCAGCCCACCCACGCCUCCUUUCCUAGCUGUGCCCUCUGUCACUAACUGCCACUCUGCACUGAUUGGACCAGGUACUGCUCACUUCUCCCAAUUAGCACCUUCUUCUGAGGUCGGUAUGAUUUCACCCCCUUCUUACACAUGGUUACUGAAGCACCUUGAGAAGUCUCAGGUCAUUUUAAGUGGCAGAGUCUGGAUUUGAACUUAGGCAGCCUGGCUCCAGAAUGAGUGUUGAAGACUCCCCUCUCCUGCCUCCUGCUAUACUGUGCAGGGGGAUGCCUCCAGGUUUCUGCCAUGACCUCCUUCUUGCAUGACCUCCUUCCUUUGCUCCUGCCCCUUCUACUACCUGUAAGAGCUAGACUUGAAGCAGAAUCCUCCUCAGAGGCCUCCCAAUUCCUCUCCUCAAAACCCAUGAAACCCCUAUGCCCCAUCUUGCCUGUUUCAACUCAAUACCCUUAUCCCAUCUUGCCUGUGCACCCUGCUAACUGCCUGAGCCCAAGGUGCCUCCCACAUUGGCAUCCCACAAAUAAUACAUCAGAAUAUAGCCCCCCGAGAAUCUUCAGGGUAGGGUCUCAGUGCAGGGUACCUUGUGUGUGUCCAGAAGUCAGUGGUGGCCAGCUCAGGGACAAAUGUGCCUUGCUAUGGUGACAGGAUCAGCAGGCGAGUAAUGAAUUUAUUAGCAGUUGGUAAGUAACUUUGGGAAAUAAAGUGAAAUGCACAAUUUGCAGAGGACACAGGUCAUGAGCCCACCUCCUAGCAUUCAUUCUUGUGCAGUCCCUCCCAUCAGAGCUAGAUCAACAAUAUGGCAGAGGUAAAGGAGUUACUUCUGAGAUAAAAGUAUGAAGAUGGCAGCUUCACUUUUGGAUCCCUUGCUUGGGGGGAAGCCACGUCACAAGUAGCCCAAUGGAAAAGGCUACAUGGCCAGGAGCCGAGGCCUCCAGCCACCAGCCAUGUGAGGGAGCUUGGAAGUGGCUCCUCCAGCCCCGGAGAAGCUCAGAUGACGGCAGCCCUGGCCGACAGCUUGACUGCAACCUCACGAGACCCUGAACCAGAACCGCCCCGCUAGGCUGCUCCUGCAUUCCUGAACCAGAAACUGCAUGAGAUAAUAAAUGUUGUUUCAA
Molecule: long non-coding RNA, 2180 nt
Organism: Talpa occidentalis (Iberian mole)
Lineage: Eukaryota; Metazoa; Chordata; Mammalia; Eulipotyphla; Talpidae
Exons: 3
Source: RefSeq, a predicted model, not a curated record